UACUUUGAAAAAAAUACAUAUAUAUUUUGGAAUUUAUAUAAAUGGUAUUCCCAAUGUAAUGGAGCCAGCAAGAGUCGACAGAUCGUUGGUGAAAUAUCAGUUGAAAUAAGAAUCUGCACUUUUGGCACAGCUGCAGUACAGUGGCUCUAAAGUCUAAGGGAUUGGAAACCGGCAGAACUAUGGAGUGAAGCCAACUGUGUGAGGUGCCCUAGAGACGGAACAGACAUGGUUUUUGGGUCAUUUCCCAGUGAUUCUGAAACUUUUCCUGAAAAAAAUGUUGAGAUACAGGUGUCAAAGCUGAAACCCUGAGAAGCUAAGUAACUUGGGCGAAGUGACAGAGCCGAAGGGUGGUAGAAUCUGAACCAGCACCCAGGCCAUGGUGUGUCAGUGAAACAUAUGUCCUGCCUGAUUUUCUCCCUGGGUCAGAGGUGAAGAGGACUGACUAUUAAGAUUGAAGUAGCUAAAGGAGGAGCCAACCAAAUUUAACAUAUUUGAUAAAGUUUAUCAAUCAGUGGAGUCUGCUCUCUCAGGUGUGCUUGAGAGAACUUGGAAAGGUCUGAAGAGUAAAGCUCAUUGAAGGACUUCUACUCCUAGGAGGAAAUUCUGAUGCCUGGAAAAUCUAUUUGCUUGUUCCUUUUAAUUGAUAGAGUGCUAGAAGAUGAAGACACAAGAUAUAUAAGAAGCUUUCUGCCUUCAUGGACUUGACAACCCAGAAGGGAGACAGGGAGACAGACAUACCGACAUACAGACAUACAGACAUACAGACAUACAGACAUACAGACAUACAGACAUAAAUGACGAAUGCAAGAAUGGACAUACGUAUGAAAUAGAUGGACAGCACAUCUAUUGGGGAGAAAUUAGGGUACUGGAAAAAGCCCUUAAAAAGAUCAGUCCUAAUUUGGGGUCAAAAGAUGGAUUGGCAUUCACUAAGGCUUUCUGUAAACCUCAGAACUGAUUUUCCCACUGCAGCCUGCAAUCAUUUGCAUUAUUUUAUUGAAGGUGGAUGUGUCGUUACACUUUACCAUUGGUUGGCGCUGACCAUCAAAUGGGCUGUACUGUGACACUUUUCUAUUCUAACAACCAUGAAGAGAGAGCAGGAACUAACUGUAUUAGGUUGUUAUAAAACUGAAAAUUUGGGAAGUGGCUUUGAGGUUUUCAGAACCUAAUUUUAUUUUAUUUAGUGUAUUUUUGAGAUAAAGGUCUAGUAUAGUAUUGUGCAUCAGGUUAAUCUACCCCUGUAGACUUGGGAUCAUUUUGUCCCAUACAGUAUUUCACAGAGAAAAAUAUUGUUGUUCAUGUAGGCUCUAGAAUAUGCCCAAAGUCACACAGCAGGACUAGAAUUAUAAUAUAUUUUUUUUUUUUUUUAAUUCUUGGUGCAGUCUUUCUGCUACUUUAUAUCUUCUCCGAACAAACCUGUUAAGGCUUGCUCUUAAGAAAGAAACUCUUUCUUAAGAAUAAAAGCUAGUAGGGUUUGCAGUAAAAUUCUCGAGGAAUACAUUAAGAAUAGAGGAGGAUGUUAUGUGGAUGAGCCUUUUGUUUUAGCAAAUUGCCAGCUGGAUGUUUUCAUCAUUCUGAGUUGGGUACCCAGAUUCCACUGGAAGGGCUGGAUGGCUGCCAUUUUUCACCCAGAUGGUGCUCCCUGUGUCAGUUAAAUCAGGCAGAAGCUGUGGUCCUCAUGCAGAGUGACAGCACACCUAUUUCCAGCAUUCAGGAUUUUCAACAUACUGAAUUUGAGAUCAGGCAAUUAUUAGAAGUCAGAUUUUUUUCCCUCCUAAAUCUCAGGAGAUUAUUUUUUUGUUCUUCUUUACUGAGCCACCAUCUUCUCCCCUUUGUGACCUUCAUAAUAAGGUUAUACAGACCCCCUGUAGCUUUGAAUAAGAUUAUCAUAAGUAAAUAUGAAAAUGUUAAUGUGUAAGCAAACAAAAUAAAGAAAAGUUAAAACAUUUUUUUCUUAAAAAUUGAUGCUAGUGCUUGGUCCUUUCUAGUGGUGGGCACUCCAAAUAUGGAAUAGGCUUAGAAGGGGAAAUCUGCUUAUGUGGCAAUCAAAAUGACUCAUCCUAAAGUUUCAUUUAGAUAACAAGCCCACAUUUUAAAAAUUUUAUAUCUUAUUUGGAGUGGUUGAUUAGGGAACACUUGAUGGCAUUGUGGAAGGAAGGGUGAUAUUUCCCCUUACCAAGCUUUGUUAUUUACUGCCACUGGUUAUUUUUUUGUGUCUUUCCUGAUGCUCAGUGAAAUCUCUUCUAAUGAAUUUGCCACUGUCUUAGGAAACUUUCCUAACAAAUGAGAAGUUUCUUCAGCAUCUUUACUAGUGGUGUGUAGAAGGAAAAGCUAAAUUGACAUGGCAUACACCCACUAAAAUUUUGCUGUCUAAAACUGAGGAUGACACAGAAAGACAACUGUGUUUAAGCUCAGCUGCAAUCCAUUCCAUUUCUUUGGUGUCCAGCAGCCAUUUGCCAGAGCUUUGGGACUAGAAUAGCCUGUCAGUUAUCCUCGUGUCCAAUGUAGUUUAUUUUGGGGGAUGAGUGAAGUAGGAAGAAAAUACAACUUAUGGAAUUACUUGGACCUGGUAUGGAAAAAUGACUGGAAAAGGUGAAAUGUGAGUAAAGCUAAGAAAUGAAUAUAGGAGAAUAUAUGAAUACAGAAUAUAAGAAUAUAGAAGGCCCUAUUUUUUUUAGUAAUAGCUUUACUGAGGUAUUGUUCACAUACCAUACCCUUCACCCACUUAAAGUAUACAAUUCAGUAGUUUUAUUAUAGUCAUAGAGUUGUACAGUUAUUACCCCAAUUUUAGAAUGUUGCAUCACCUCCAGAAGAAACCUCGUAUGCUUUACAUGUCACCCCUCUGCUCCCUUCUGCCCCACCCCCACCACUAAGCAGCUACUAAUGUACUUUUUGUCUGUAUGGAUUUGCCCAUUUGGAAAAUUUUUAUAUAAAUGGUAUUAUACAAUUACAAUAUGUGGUCUUUUUGUCUGGCUUAGCAUA
Molecule: long non-coding RNA, 2979 nt
Organism: Pteropus alecto (black flying fox)
Lineage: Eukaryota; Metazoa; Chordata; Mammalia; Chiroptera; Pteropodidae
Exons: 7
Source: RefSeq, a predicted model, not a curated record